CGUGCUAAGGUAGCAUAAUCAUUUGGUCUUUAAUUGAGUUCUGGUAUGAAAGGUCAAACAAAGAUAACUUUCUUGUUUAUAGAGAUAAAAUUUAAGUUUUAAGUAAAAACGCUUAAAUUAUUGUGGGACGAUAAGACCCUAAAAGCUUUAUCUCAACUACGACUAGAUACAACCUAGUAUGUUAAUGAGAUUUGGUUGGGGUAACAACCCUAAAUAUAUUAGGGUUAUUUAAAUACAGUAUAUAGACAAGGAUCCUUAAUAUUAGGGUAAGAGUGAAAGUUACUUUAGGGGUAACAGGGUAAUUAUUUUAUGGAGCUCUUAUCUACAAAAUAGAUUGCCACCUCGAUGUUGAAUUAAGAUAUCUGCGUAAAGCAAAAAGUGCGCAAGAAGGUUUGUUCAACCUCUAACUUCUUACAUGAUCUGAGUUCAAACC
RNAcentral lists this ribosomal RNA (433 nucleotides) under Eogammarus kygi. RNAcentral's name for it is "partial 16S rRNA". It matches the Rfam family "Bacterial large subunit ribosomal RNA", at positions 1947 to 2617 of the family's 2925-position model. Lineage: Eukaryota; Metazoa; Arthropoda; Malacostraca; Amphipoda; Anisogammaridae. The record is from RNAcentral.